Molecule: ribosomal RNA, 550 nt
Filed under: uncultured bacterium
Lineage: Bacteria
Description: bacterial SSU rRNA
Rfam family: Bacterial small subunit ribosomal RNA
Source: RNAcentral
UAGGGAAUCUUCGGCAAUGGGGGCAACCCUGACCGAGCAACGCCGCGUGAGUGAAGAAGGUUUUCGGAUCGUAAAGCUCUGUUGUAAGUUAAGAACGAGUGUGAGAGUGGAAAGUUCACACUGUGACGGUAGCUUACCAGAAAGGGACGGCUAACUACGUGCCAGCAGCCGCGGUAAUACGUAGGUCCCGAGCGUUGUCCGGAUUUAUUGGGCGUAAAGCGAGCGCAGGCGGUUUGAUAAGUCUGAAGUUAAAGGCUGUGGCUCAACCAUAGUUCGCUUUGGAAACUGUCAAACUUGAGUGCAGAAGAGGAGAGUGGAAUUCCAUGUGUAGCGGUGAAAUGCGUAGAUAUAUGGAGGAACACCGGUGGCGAAAGCGGCUCUCUGGUCUGUAACUGACGCUGAGGCUCGAAAGCGUGGGGAGCGAACAGGAUUAGAUACCCUGGUAGUCCACGCCGUAAACGAUGAGUGCUAGGUGUUGGAUCCUUUCCGGGAUUCAGUGCCGCAGCUAACGCAUUAAGCACUCCGCCUGGGGAGUACGACCGCAAGGUUG